RNAcentral lists this long non-coding RNA (3109 nucleotides) under Homo sapiens (human). RNAcentral's name for it is "non-protein coding lnc-EIF1AD-5:1". The record is from RNAcentral. Lineage: Eukaryota; Metazoa; Chordata; Mammalia; Primates; Hominidae.
AGAGGCUCAUGGGAAGGCCGGGAUCAGCGCUCGACUGCACAUUCGCGCCGUCUCGGGUCGGGUGGGUUCUUUGAGCGAGUGGUCCCAUUGCGCAUGCGCUCCUCAAGGGAAGCGGAAUUAACCCGGAGGUGGGAUCCCAGAACUGGAAGGACUUAGAGCCCAUUAAGUCAGUGUCUUCGUGGCUUUAAGUUCCUCCCCGGCCUCCCUGCGCUUGCACUUCACCGGCAACGGGGUGUUCACUACCUCACGGUCUUUCCGUAGACACCUCCCUCCUACAAUGGGCGCUCGCUUAGUGGACUCCUAGGGUCGUGGCUCCAACGGGUGUUGUUUUCCCGAGAUCUCCAAUUCCACAGCCCAGCUUCAGACCCGCUAUAACCAGUAUCGUCAGGGAACGCUUCCUUCCCACGUUCCCUGUUUUGUUUUGUUUUGUUUUUUCCCUUGAGAUAGGAUCUCACUCUGUUGCUCAGGCUGGAGUGCAGUGGCGUGAUCACAGCGCACUGCAGCCUCGACCUCCUGGGCUCAAGUGAUCCUCCCACCUCAGCCUUCCCAGUAGCUGGGACUACGAGAGUACGCUACCACGCCCCUUUAAUUUUUGUAUUUUUUUGUAGAUGGUUGGUGGGGAGCGGGGGUAGGGGGUGGGGUCACUAUGUUGGCCAGGCUGGUCUCGAACUCCUGAGCUCAGGCUAUACACCCGCCUUGGCCUCCCAAAGUGCUGAGAUUACAGGCAUGCGCCACUGCGCCUGGCCCUGGAUUGGAUUUUUAAAACCUGGCCCCGUGAACUGUUAAGAUUGUUUAGGAGCUCCACAUGGGCGUCAGUGUAUCCCUGGAACCCCUGAAAUUGAAUGCAAAAUGUGGCACAUCUGUGUGUAUGAGUUUUUUUCUUGAGGAGACCAGCCCUAACUUAAAACUAUUGGGACUUAAAACCCCAGUGCAGGCCGGGCGCGGUGGCUCACGCCUGUAAUCCCAGCACUUUGGGAGGCCAAGGCAGGCGAAUCACGAGGUCAAGAGAUCGAGACCAUCCUGGCCUACAUGGUAAAACCCCGUCUCUACUAAAAAUACAAAAAUUAGCUGGGUGUGGUGGCGCACACCUGUAGUCCCAGCUACUCAGGAGGCUGAGGCAGGAGAAUCGCUUGAACCUGGGAGGCAGAGGUUGCAGUGAGUUGAGAUCACACCAUUGCACUCCGGCCUGGUGACAGAGCGAGACUCUGUCUUAAAAAAAAAAAAAAAAAGCGCAGUGCACACAAUCCCAAUCUCUCCUGAAACCCCUCCCCUCACCCAGUGGUUGCUCAGUCUGUGGCUCCCUGUGUGGCACAACUCAGCAUGUGUUAGGCUAUGUUGUAUGCGCCCCUUUAAGGAUCCACCCCCUCUCCCACUCACUGGGCGUCCUCAGAGGCAGGAGUCAUUUCAUCUUAUUCAUGCUUGAAUUUAUAGGACCCAACAUAUACAUUGGAGAUGGGGUGGAGAAGUCACAGCUCUUGCUCUUUGAGAUGUCCCCACUCCUCAGGAGCAGAGAAGGGGCUGUGUGUACUGGGUGGGGGGAACCAAAAGAGCCAAAGCUCCUGGUGGGGAGGGGGUGCGGGGACAGAGCUAAGCCUGCUGCCCACCCACCUGCCACCUCCAACUUCCAACCCGUAGCUUCCACCACCCCCACCACCAGAAAUCUCAUACUGUGUUUGCCAUAAAGCCUUUAAUUUUAUCUCAGGGACUGCACUCCGGGUCCAGGCUGGGGUUGUAGUGCCUGUCAGGCUGGCUGCCGGUGGGUUCUGUCCUUGGGGGCCUCUGAGGAGAGUGCUCCAUUCUCACCCCCAUUGACCUGUGGCUCCUUCAAGACACAGAUAGAGGCCCCUGACUCUGCAGCUCCCACCCCCAUGCCCAAGGAAACCACUGACAAUGUGGCUUCAAACCCUGCUUCAGUGCCGGCUUGCUGUGUGAUCCUGGGCAAAGUGACUCUUCUCGAGUCUCACUUUCCUUAUUGUCAAGUGGGCUUCAUAAUCGCUGCUCUGUACCAGGUUAUUCUAAGGCAUGGGGUGACCAGCGUGGUGGUGCCAGCCCCUAAUGAGGGACUUGGUGUGUGGCCGCUCAGAUGGUUGCAGAGUCCCAGACUGGUUCUGCUGCUUGUUCGCUCCUGCGUCCUUAAAGAAGGCCCUUCCCCUCAGGUCCUUAGUUUCCUCAUUGAGAAGUAGGAAUGACAACCCUGGCCUUGCCUUCCUCUGGGCUCUCUGCCUGUCCUGGGGGAGGCCCUCCAGAGCCCAGAGUGCUGGUGUGGGCGCCCCUUCCCGCAGCAGCAUGGCAGAGUCAGUUCUUGACCUGACGGGGAGACUCACCUGGGUUUCCUGGGGGUGCCCUCUCUGUCCACCUUUCCUGCCUCAGACAGCAGCUGCUCCUCAUCCAGCCCCAGUGCUGACAGCACCUGGGAGAAGCGCCGAGUGACGGUGAGCCGGGCAUUGGCCUGAGGAGAGAGAAGACGGCUUCCUGCUCUGCACCAGGGCUGCCGAGGGCAAGGUGGGGAUCGGGUUACUGAGGGGGUCCCAGGGAUUCCAGAGGGCAGCAGCCCUGGGAUCCUAUCUGCAGGGACCUACUCGCAUCCUGCUUCCCUACCCACUCAGCCAGCUCUUCACAGGGGGCAGCUAUGUGCUUGCCCAGGUGCCAGCCUCACCUGCAUAGCCUGCUGGAACAGGAAGGGCCGGGCCUGCACCCUGUGCUGGAUGCCUUGCAGCUCCGCCUGGUACUCAGCAAAGCGCUGUCGCUCCUGGCGCCUGCAGGGGAGACAGGCCUUUGUGCAGCUAACCAUGGACACAACUGUUGAUCUCCAUUCCUGAGCCCGCUUAUCUUCACUAAGGACUUGAUAUUCAUGUCCUCACCCUCACCUUUACAAAGCUAUUUCAUUCCCAUUCUUGCCUGGAUUCCUUGUGAAGUCAGCCAAGGUGGAAAUUAUUCACCCAAUUUACGGAUGGAUCGGGAGGGUUGAGGGACUUGUUCAAAGUUGUGCAGCUGGGAAGUGAGGGGCCGAGCCCUGUGCAGCUGGGGCUUGCCCAUCCUCCUGUGCCAGCCCCAUGGGAAAGGGGCCAGUGCUGGCUUCUGAGCUUCCAGACACGUGCUUACAUAGCUU